AGUUCGGACUGUGGUCUGCAACCCGACCACACGAAGCUGGAAUCGCUAGUAAUCGCGGAUCAGAAUGCCGCGGUGAAUACGUUCCCGGGUCUUGUACACACCGCCCGUCACACCAUGGGAGUCGGAAAUGCCCGAAGUCGGUGACCGAACCGAAAGGAAGGAGCCGCCGAAGGCAGGUCUGGUGACUGGGGUGAAGUCGUAACAAGGUACC
This 211-nucleotide ribosomal RNA is filed under the name uncultured bacterium. RNAcentral describes it as "partial 16S ribosomal RNA". It matches the Rfam family "Bacterial small subunit ribosomal RNA", at positions 1290 to 1500 of the family's 1533-position model. The record is from RNAcentral.